CCUGAGUGUGCUGGGAUGGUCCCACAGAGAGACGGUGGCUGGCUGAUCACAGACAUGAGCUCCAAGACACGGGCGCGGACUCCAGGGCUACAGGAACCCUCACAGGAGGCUGUGAUCUUUCGUCCCCCACGCAGCCUUCCAGGAGGAGAAAUGGAGACACCGCCUCAGGGAGCCUGUGCUUCUGUCUGUGUCCUGACUGCACUGCAUGAAGGGAAGAGGAUAUGCACGGGCCCCCAUCAGGCGCUUGUUCACAGGGGUCCCCAGACCCUGCAGGAGCCUUGAUGACAGGCCCCAAAGGGCCAGACGUGGCUGCCCAUGCCUGAGAGAGACGCAGAGGUGGACAGAGACAUCGGCCUUCGUGCAGACUUGGGACUUUCUGGCCGAGGAUGACGCUUCCUGGGAAAGCUGGGGCUGCAGGGAUCGGGUAGGUGUGCAUCGCUGUUGGGUGCUCAGCACGCAGCUUGUGUUACAAGGAGGAAACACACAUCUUUACUCUCCUACUGAACCAAAGGACAGAAUUUAGAGUCAUAAUAAGCAGACUUGCUUGACCACAUUUGAGAACGUUAAAAUGCCACCAUUAAAGCAGCAAGCUCUGUAUUCCCAACUUUAUAGGAUCUCAGAUUCUCUGUAUCAUGUGGAAGAGAAUUUUCCAGGUCAGAUCAUUGGACAGCCCACUGCACGUAUUCUUCUAGAGUGUUGGAUCAUUCUUGGGUGGAAUUUAUUUAAAUAUGGGCUUAUAGAGAAAAGACAGAUGGAACUGAGAUGCAGAAUGAGUUAAGUCUAG
RNAcentral lists this long non-coding RNA (784 nucleotides) under Capra hircus (goat). Its description in RNAcentral is "lncRNA (ENSCHIG00000007576.1)". Lineage: Eukaryota; Metazoa; Chordata; Mammalia; Artiodactyla; Bovidae. The record is from RNAcentral.